ACAAACAUCAUAUCUGAACUAAGUAAAUGGAGACUUAAUUUUAUUGACUGGCACCGAAUGGAAAUGAGAAAAGAGAAAGAAAAACAUGCAGCACAUUUAAAACAACUGUGUAAUCAGAUCAGUGACUUGAAGGAGCUGCAAAAAACCUUUGAAAUCUCCAUUGGGAGAAAAGAUGAGGUGAUUUCUAGCCUGUCUCAUGCCAUAGGCAAGCAAAAGGAAAAGAUAGAGUUGAUGAGAACAUUCUUCCACUGGCGAAUUGGCCAUGUCAGAGCCAGACAGGAUGU
This 284-nucleotide small RNA is filed under the name Pongo abelii (Sumatran orangutan). RNAcentral describes it as "processed transcript". The record is from RNAcentral. Lineage: Eukaryota; Metazoa; Chordata; Mammalia; Primates; Hominidae.